This is an RNA transcript of Oryzias melastigma (Indian medaka), 2169 nucleotides long. RefSeq lists it as uncharacterized. NCBI's taxonomy places the organism in Eukaryota, Metazoa, Chordata, Actinopteri, Beloniformes, Adrianichthyidae. The record is from RefSeq and is a predicted model, not a curated record. The transcript is spliced from 9 exons.
UCUCCGGUGCAAACUCCACACAGAAAGGUCCCAGCCGGUGGUUCUGGUUCUGAUCCCCCAGCUGGGAUUCGAACCUGGGCCUUUUUGCAUUGAGGCAAGAGCGCCAACCACUGCACCACCGUGCAGCCCUCAACAUGCUAAUGUCUUUGGCUAAUAUGCUAUCUACGGGAUUUUUUAGGCUACUUUAGAGUUUAGCUUCUACUUUAGCAACAUGCUAACAUGUUUGACUAAUUUAGUUUACUGAGGAUUUUUAGUCUAUUUUGGAGAUAAGCUAGUAUUUAAGGAACAAGCUAGCUUUUGGGGGCUAAAUUGGAGUUUAAUUUACAUUUAAGCAACAAACUAAAGCUUUUUGCAAAUUUGAAAUGAAUUUGGGUCUUUUAGCCUCAUUUAUUACAGAUCUUUCAGAAAUGUUGUUGAUCUUCAGCACUUUCAUAGUUCUGUAAUGACAUUUUCAGUCUUUUAGCAAAAGUAACAUUUUGUAAAUAGCUUUAGCAUUUUCAGUAAAUCCCUUCAACAAUUAAAGUAAAUUGUCACUAUUUUCAGCAAAAAGCUUCAGCAUCAUUAGUGACUAUUUUCAGCUGAAAACAUUCACAGCAGCAUUAUUGCAGGAAAUGGAACUUUUCUAGUUUGAUUUGAUCUUAACCCCAGAAACGAAUGAAGGACAGAAGCUUCACGAUUCAUUCAAAGUUGAAUAAACUAUCAUCUUAAUUGUCUUUAUUUGUAGUUAGUUUAAAUCUAACGAUGGUUAAGAUGUGUUUACAUCCAGUUUGUGCAUGACCCGAUUAAUCGACUGAUCUGAACAAUAAUCUGUGAUCAGUCGACUAUUAAAAUGAUGGUUGUAGCAGCUCUAAUGUGCAUGUUAUUUGUGUUUGUACAAAUGUUCUCGUCUACGUGCACGUGAGUGUCUGUGCACACAGGUGUGUGUGUGUGUAUGUACUUGAGUGUGCAUGUGAGUGUGCACGUUGCUGCUGAAACUAGAAAAGUGACCUUUGCGCUGGGCCCGCUCUACGUUCCUAUUUACUCAUAAAUACUCCAUGCUGGUGAAGUUCUCUGAACAUCCGACAAUAAUUAACUCCUGGGUGAUAAGAAACGACUGAAGAAGUUCUGGGAGCAGAAACCUCCGGAGGAACCAGGAGAUAAAGAAAACCAACAAAGGAGGAGAGUCGAUAGAACCAGAUAAAAAAGAGGAAGAGGAAACCGUGACGGCGCUCGCUGCACUUCUUCUUCUUCUGUCUGUGUUUUUGUCCCGCUGAAGCAGAUGGACUCGGACUCGGACACUCGGGCGCCGCGACACAUCGAGCUGAACGACGGCGCACGCAUGCCCGUGCUGGGCCUGGGGACGUGGAAGUCCUCUCAUCUGCCGCCCAGCUCCAUCCAGGGCGCCGUGGAGGCCGCCAUCGCUGCCGGCUACCGCCACAUCGACACGGCGUACAGCUACGGCAACGAGGUGGAGGUGGGCAGAGCUCUGCGCUCCAUGAUGCAGCAGGGCGUGGUUCGGCGCGAGGACAUGUUCAUCGUCAGCAAGCUGUGUGAAACCCAUCACGCGCCGGAGGACAUCCCUCGGUGUCUCAGCAAGUCUCUGAAGGAUCUGCAGCUGGACUACCUGGACCUUUACCUCAUCCAUUUCCCUGUUGGCUUGAAGAAAGUCGGCGAAGAACUUUUUCCAAUGAAGGACGGAAAGGUUUUGACGUCUGACAUCGACUAUGUUGAUGUGUGGAGGGGCCUGGAGGCUCUGCAGGCCUCCGGGAAGGUGAGGAGCAUCGGCGUGUCCAACUUCAGCAUCCUGCAGCUGCAGAGGCUGAUGGCUCUGUGCCGAGUCCCCCCGGCCGUCAACCAGGUUGAGCUGCACCCGUACCUGGUUCAGGCGGACAUGAUGGAGUUCUGUAGGUCGAGGAACAUCGCCCUGACCGCCUUCAGCCCGUUUGGUUCUCCAGCGAGGCCUCCAGAAGAGUUCGAAUGCGGGACCGACCCACACCAGCUCCUGGAGGACCCGGUCAUCGCUCGGGUCGCCGAGCGCCACAGACGCAGCGCCGCACAGGUGCGCCUGUAACCGCUGUGGUUCUCCAGGUGUUGUUGAGGUAUCACGUCCAGCAGGGAGUUGGUGUCAUCCCCAAGAGCGACAAACCUCAUCAUAUCAUCCAGAACACAAAGAUCUUUGACUUCAAUCUG